This 1100-nucleotide ribosomal RNA is filed under the name Dermanyssus gallinae. RNAcentral describes it as "bacterial SSU rRNA". It matches the Rfam family "Eukaryotic small subunit ribosomal RNA", at positions 1 to 1097 of the family's 1831-position model. Lineage: Eukaryota; Metazoa; Arthropoda; Arachnida; Mesostigmata; Dermanyssidae. The record is from RNAcentral.
ACUGGUUGAUCCUGCCAGUAGUCAUAUGCUUGUCUUAAAGAUUAAGCCAUGCAUGUUUAAGUUCAUACCUUUGAAUGGUGAAACCGCGAAUGGCUCAUUAAAUCAGUUAUAAUUUCAUGGGAUGUGUUUUGUUAAUUGGAUAACUGUGGUAAUUCUAGAGCUAAUACAUGCAUAUACGUUCAACUUCGGUUGGAUGUGCUUUUAUUAGUGCAAACCAUGUCGUAAGACUAUAGGUGGUGACUCUGAAUAACUUUGCCGAGCAUUUCGGCCUUGUGUCGGUGCUAUUCCUUCAAAGUAUCUGCUCUAUCAACUGUCGAUGGUAUAUUAUAUGUUUACCAUGGUUGUAACGGGUAACGGGGAAUCAGGGUUCGAUUCCGGAGAGGGAGCCUGAGAAACGGCUACCACAUCUAAGGAAGGCAGCAGGCGCGCAAAUUACCCAAUCUCGGCUCGGGGAGGUAGUGACAAAAAAUAACAAUGCGGGUCUUAAAUGAGGCUUCGUAAUUGGAAUGAGUACAUUCUAAAUCCUUUAACGAGGAACUAUUGGAAGGCAAGUCUGGUGCCAGCAGCCGCGGUAAUUCCAGCUCCAAUAGCGUAUAUUAAAAUUGUUGCGUCUAAAAAGCUCGUAGUUUGAAAACUUGCCUUGACUUGCAAUAGGUCCACAUGGGCCACCGUUUGUCGAGCGCAAAUAUGGAUGACUGUUUUUGCCGGCUUAAUUGUUUGGCUUAUAAGAGUUAUCAAAUAUCACUUUGAUUAAAUUAGAGUGCUUAAAGCAAGUGUAUUACUUGAAUAUAAAUGCAUGGAAUGAUGGAAUAUGUUAUUGUUCUAUUUGUUGGUUUUGGAACGAUGAAAUGAUUGAAAGGAACUGAUGGGGGCAUUCGUAUUGUUGUGAGAGAGGUGAAAUUCUUAGACCACAGCAAGACGAACUACUGCGAAAGCAUUUGCCAAGAAUGUUUUCAUUGAUCAAGAACGAAAGUUAGAGGUUCGAAGGCGAUCAGAUACCGCCCUAGUUCUAACCAUAAACUAUGCCAACUAGCAAUUUGCAAGAUCUGCUUCUCCAGAAACCGUACUGGGCAUCUAAUAGGGUACUCUUUUCUUGGAUC